Molecule: ribosomal RNA, 253 nt
Filed under: uncultured bacterium
Lineage: Bacteria
Description: partial 16S ribosomal RNA
Rfam family: Bacterial small subunit ribosomal RNA
Source: RNAcentral
UACGGGGGGAGCAAGCGUUGUUCGGAUUUACUGGGCGUAAAGGGUGCGUAGGUGGCCGGGAAAGUCUGAUGUGAAAUCUCCGAGCUUAACUUGGAAAUGGCGUUGGAAACUAUCUGGCUUGAGGGCCGGAGGGGAGACUGGAAUUCUCGGUGUAGCAGUGAAAUGCGUAGAUAUGCGGAGGAACACCGAUGGCGAAGGCAAUCCCCUGGGCCUGCACUGACGCUCAUGCACGAAAGCGUGGGGAGCAAACAGG